CCUACGGGUGGCAGCAGUGGGGAAUAUUGCUCAAUGGGGGAAACCCUGAUGCAGCGACGCCGCGUGAAGGAAGAAGUAUUUCGGUAUGUAAACUUCUAUCUGCAGGGAAGAAAAUGACGGUACCUGACUAAGAAGCCCCGGCUAACUACGUGCCAGCAGCCGCGGUACUACGUAGGGGGCCAGCGUUAUCCGGAUUUACUGGGUGUAAAGGGAGCGUAGGCGGUGUAGCAAGUCAGUAGUGAAAGCCCGGGGCUCAACCCCGGGACUGCUGUUGAAACUGGUGAACUAGAUUGCAGGAGAGGUAAGUGGAAUUCCGAGUGUAGCGGUGAAAUGCGUAGAUAUUAGGAGGAACACCAGUGGCGAAGGCAGCUUACUGGACUGUAAAUGACGCUGAGGCUCGAAAGCGUGGGGAGCAAACAGGAUUAGAUACCCGGGUAGUC
This 440-nucleotide ribosomal RNA is filed under the name uncultured bacterium. Its description in RNAcentral is "partial 16S ribosomal RNA". It matches the Rfam family "Bacterial small subunit ribosomal RNA", at positions 338 to 795 of the family's 1533-position model. The record is from RNAcentral.